CCAAAUCCGCGAGGGAGAGAUUUAAGACGCUGCCGUGUGAGAGGAAGGCGUCGACGUGGGUCUCCCCGGUUCACCAACAAAUUCAUUCCGUUGAAGCAUUGAAGUGUGCCCAUGGAUCUCUCGAAGCUAGCUCGGGGACCUUAUGAGGCUGGUGACGCCCCGCUCGCGGUAGAUUGCUCAUCAGAGCAAAACUGCGAUGUGAUCCUGCCGCACCGUGAUUCGGCCUCAUCACGACCUCAUCUCUAGUGAGAAACCAUCCUAUUGCCCGCUUACUGUUCUCCAAUGCAUAGCACCGAGAAUCGUGGUGUGCAUAUCCCCUUAACCACGGGAAUCGCUUGCAUUUGUUUACUGUAGGUAUCAUAUAAAUUUUAAUUUACAAAUCCAUUCUUUAAGGACGUGAGUCCAAUUCCACUGUA
RNAcentral lists this long non-coding RNA (416 nucleotides) under Zea mays. RNAcentral's name for it is "long non-coding RNA NONZMAT002661". Lineage: Eukaryota; Viridiplantae; Streptophyta; Magnoliopsida; Poales; Poaceae. The record is from RNAcentral.